This 68-nucleotide transfer RNA is filed under the name Marmota monax (woodchuck). Its description in RNAcentral is "tRNA.Ala". The record is from RNAcentral. Lineage: Eukaryota; Metazoa; Chordata; Mammalia; Rodentia; Sciuridae.
GGAUUGUAGCUCAGUGGUAGAGAGCUUGCCUAGCAUGUGUGAGGCCUUGGGUUUGAUCCUCAGCACCA